RNAcentral lists this long non-coding RNA (430 nucleotides) under Vitis vinifera (wine grape). RNAcentral describes it as "long non-coding RNA (VVIN_LNC004488)". Lineage: Eukaryota; Viridiplantae; Streptophyta; Magnoliopsida; Vitales; Vitaceae. The record is from RNAcentral.
GGGCUUGGGAAGAAUCUUAAUAUUCGGACCAUAAUAAUUCCACCAACUGUAGAACCAAAAUGGGAAAGAAGAAAGCUGAUUUUUAGAUGGAAAAUAGAACAUCCAUGAAUGAUGGAAGUCCCUAUUCUGGAUCAGAAAAACAUUAAACCAUGCUCUCUGAUAAUCCCAAUAAUUAAAAAACCUUGGCUUUGAUGGUUCAGAAAAUUCCCUUGAAAGAUUAGGAUUUCCUCCCCAUUGCUUGACAGUAAGAAUCUUAUAGAUAUGGCAGGUGGAGAAUGCCAAACCCAUAUUGCUGAAUUUGUCUGCAUGAUACUUAAUUUUAACAGAACCAGUUUCUGUAAGGACUGCUUCAUAAAACUCUCUUGUUCUUAAAAUAUCACCAGAGGGAUAAUGAAAAUUUUCUUGAAAAGAUUUUGCAGCAAUUUCUCUG